This 21-nucleotide ribosomal RNA is filed under the name Acanthospermum hispidum. Its description in RNAcentral is "partial 18S ribosomal RNA". The record is from RNAcentral. Lineage: Eukaryota; Viridiplantae; Streptophyta; Magnoliopsida; Asterales; Asteraceae.
GAACGUGCGGAAGGAUCAUUG